UGGGGAAUUUUGGACAAUGGGGGCAACCCUGAUCCAGCAAUGCCGCGUGUGUGAAGAAGGCCUUCGGGUUGUAAAGCACUUUUGUCCGGAAAGAAAACGUCGUGGUUAAUACCCGUGGCGGCUGACGGUACCGGAAGAAUAAGCACCGGCUAACUACGUGCCAGCAGCCGCGGUAAUACGUAGGGUGCAAGCGUUAAUCGGAAUUACUGGGCGUAAAGCGUGCGCAGGCGGUCCGCUAAGACAGAUGUGAAAUCCCCGGGCUUAACCUGGGAACUGCAUUUGUGACUGGCGGGCUAGAGUAUGGCAGAGGGGGGUAGAAUUCCACGUGUAGCAGUGAAAUGCGUAGAGAUGUGGAGGAAUACCGAUGGCGAAGGCAGCCCCCUGGGCCAAUACUGACGCUCAUGCACGAAAGCGUGGGGAGCAAACAGGAUUAGAUACCCUGGUAGUCCACGCCCUAAACGAUGUCAACUAGUUGUCGGGUCUUCAUUGACUUGGUAACGUAGCUAACGCGUGAAGUUGACCGCCUGGGAGUACGGUCGCAAGAUUAAAAACUUAAAUGAAUUGAC
This 566-nucleotide ribosomal RNA is filed under the name uncultured bacterium. Its description in RNAcentral is "partial 16S ribosomal RNA". It matches the Rfam family "Bacterial small subunit ribosomal RNA", at positions 355 to 914 of the family's 1533-position model. The record is from RNAcentral.